Molecule: long non-coding RNA, 216 nt
Organism: Lingula anatina
Lineage: Eukaryota; Metazoa; Brachiopoda; Lingulata; Lingulida; Lingulidae
Source: RefSeq, a predicted model, not a curated record
AUUUCGGAAUCGGGUCCUUAUCCCCUACACUUGGGCGCCACUUGGAAAACGUGGACAGCAGCUUAGAGGGCAACCACGUGAUGAUCGGUCUUGCGUUUUCUCUGAUAGGCUUAACAUACACAUUCACCGUGCCCCUAUUUGGACUAGUAUCCAAUAAAUUGAACCGCAAUAAAGUGCAGGUUAUUGUUGGACUCUUUGUGUGUACAUUAGGUUAUA